UACGGAGGAUCCGAGCGUUAUCCGGAUUUAUUGGGUUUAAAGGGUGCGCAGGCGGGAGAUUAAGUCGGCGGUGAAAUUUUGCAGCUCAACUGUAAAAGUGCCUUCGAAACUGGUUUCCUUGAGUGUAGAUGAAGUAGGCGGAAUUUGUGGUGUAGCGGUGAAAUGCAUAGAUAUCACGAGGAACUCCGAUUGCGAAGGCAGCUUACUAAUCCAUCAUUGACGCUGAGGCACGAAAGCGUGGGGAUCAAACAGGAUUAGAUACCCU
Molecule: ribosomal RNA, 265 nt
Filed under: uncultured prokaryote
Description: partial 16S ribosomal RNA
Rfam family: Bacterial small subunit ribosomal RNA
Source: RNAcentral